This 73-nucleotide transfer RNA is filed under the name Ixodes scapularis (black-legged tick). RNAcentral describes it as "tRNA-Thr for anticodon UGU". It matches the Rfam family "tRNA". Rfam says of the family: Transfer RNA (tRNA) molecules are approximately 80 nucleotides in length. Their secondary structure includes four short double-helical elements and three loops (D, anti-codon, and T loops). Lineage: Eukaryota; Metazoa; Arthropoda; Arachnida; Ixodida; Ixodidae. The record is from RNAcentral.
CCCUGGUUAGCGCAGUUGGUAGAGCGCUCCACCUGUAAUGGCGAGGUCCCGGGUCCGACACCCGGACCAGGCG